Molecule: ribosomal RNA, 865 nt
Filed under: Phaeosphaeria acaciae
Lineage: Eukaryota; Fungi; Ascomycota; Dothideomycetes; Pleosporales; Phaeosphaeriaceae
Description: eukaryotic LSU rRNA
Rfam family: Eukaryotic large subunit ribosomal RNA
Source: RNAcentral
AGCAACAUAAGCGGAGGAAAAGAAACCAACAGGGAUUGCCCUAGUAACGGCGAGUGAAGCGGCAACAGCUCAAAUUUGAAAUCUGGCUCUUUCAGAGUCCGAGUUGUAAUUUGCAGAGGGCGCUUUGGCGUUGGCAGCGGUCCAAGUUCUUUGGAACAGGACGUCACAGAGGGUGAGAAUCCCGUACGUGGUCGCUAGCCUUCGCCGUGUAAAGCCCCUUCGACGAGUCGAGUUGUUUGGGAAUGCAGCUCUAAAUGGGAGGUAAAUUUCUUCUAAAGCUAAAUACUGGCCAGAGACCGAUAGCGCACAAGUAGAGUGAUCGAAAGAUGAAAAGCACUUUGGAAAGAGAGUCAAAUAGCACGUGAAAUUGUUGAAAGGGAAGCGCUUGCAGCCAGACUUGCCUGUAGUUGCUUAUCUGGACUUUUGUCCGGUGCACUCUUCUGCGGGCAGGCCAGCAUCAGUUUGGGCGGUUGGAUAAAGGUCUCUGUCAUGUACCUCCUUUCGGGGAGGCCUUAUAGGGGAGACGACAUGCAACCAGCCUGGACUGAGGUCCGCGCAUCUGCUAGGAUGCUGGCGUAAUGGCUGUAAGCGGCCCGUCUUGAAACACGGACCAAGGAGUCUAACAUCUAUGCGAGUGUUUGGGUGUCAAGCCCAGACGCGUAAUGAAAGUGAACGGAGGUGGGAACCCUUUGGGUGCACCAUCGACCGAUCCUGAUGUCUUCGGAUGGAUUUGAGUAAGAGCAUGGCUGUUGGGACCCGAAAGAUGGUGAACUAUGCUUGAAUAGGGUGAAGCCAGAGGAAACUCUGGUGGAGGCUCGCAGCGGUUCUGACGUGCAAAUCGAUCGUCAAAUUUGGGCAUAGGGGC